RNAcentral lists this ribosomal RNA (629 nucleotides) under uncultured Bacteroidota bacterium. RNAcentral's name for it is "bacterial SSU rRNA". It matches the Rfam family "Bacterial small subunit ribosomal RNA", at positions 61 to 691 of the family's 1533-position model. Lineage: Bacteria; Pseudomonadati; Bacteroidota. The record is from RNAcentral.
GUCGAGGGGUAUUUAUCUUCGGAUAGAGAGACCGGCGCACGGGUGCGUAACGCGUAUGCAAUCUACCUUUUACAGAGGGAUAACCCAGAGAAAUUUGGAUUAAUACCUCAUAGUAUUAUGAAAUGGCAUCAUUUUAUAAUUAAAGUCACAACGGUAAAAGAUGAGCAUGCGUCCCAUUAGCUAGUUGGUAAGGUAACGGCUUACCAAGGCUACGAUGGGUAGGGGUCCUGAGAGGGAGAUCCCCCACACUGGUACUGAGACACGGACCAGACUCCUACGGGAGGCAGCAGUGAGGAAUAUUGGACAAUGGGCGCAAGCCUGAUCCAGCCAUGCCGCGUGCAGGAUGACGGUCCUAUGGAUUGUAAACUGCUUUUAUACGAGAAGAAACACUCCAACGUGUUGGAGCUUGACGGUAUCGUAAGAAUAAGGAUCGGCUAACUCCGUGCCAGCAGCCGCGGUAAUACGGAGGAUCCAAGCGUUAUCCGGAAUCAUUGGGUUUAAAGGGUCCGUAUGCGGUUUAGUAAGUCAGUGGUGAAAGCCCAUCGCUCAACGGUGGAACGGCCAUUGAUACUGCUGAACUUGAAUUAUUAGGAAGUAACUAGAAUAUGUAGUGUAGCGGUGAAAUGCUU